AGUGAACGCUGGCGGUAGGCCUAACACAUGCCAGUCGAACGGCAGCACAGUAAGAGCUUGCUCUUACGGGUGGCGAGUGGCGGACGGGUGAGGAAUACAUCGGAAUCUACUUUUUCGUGGGGGAUAACGUAGGGAAACUUACGCUAAUACCGCAUACUACCUACGGGUGAAAGCAGGGGAUCUUCGGACCUUGCGCGAUUGAAUGAGCCGAUGUCGGAUUAGCUAGUUGGCGGGGUAAAGGCCCACCAAGGCGACGAUCCGUAGCUGGUCUGAGAGGAUGAUCAGCCACACUGGAACUGAGACACGGUCCAGACUCCUACGGGGGGCAGCAGUGGGGAAUAUUGGACAAUGGGCGAAAGCCUGAUACAGCCAUACCGCGUGGGUGAAGAAGGCCUUCGGGUUGUAAAGCCCUUUUGUUGGGAAAGAAAAGCAGCAGGUUAAUACCCCGCUGUUCUGACGGUACCCAAAGAAUAAGCACCGGCUAACUUCGUG
RNAcentral lists this ribosomal RNA (492 nucleotides) under uncultured bacterium. Its description in RNAcentral is "partial 16S ribosomal RNA". It matches the Rfam family "Bacterial small subunit ribosomal RNA", at positions 29 to 507 of the family's 1533-position model. The record is from RNAcentral.